GCGGAUAUCGUAUAACGGCUAUUAUGUGACCUUCCCAAGGUUGAGACGGGAGUUCGACUCUCCCUAUCCGCACCA
This 75-nucleotide transfer RNA is filed under the name Candidatus Saccharimonadota bacterium. RNAcentral's name for it is "tRNA-Gly". It matches the Rfam family "tRNA". From Rfam's summary of the family: Transfer RNA (tRNA) molecules are approximately 80 nucleotides in length. Their secondary structure includes four short double-helical elements and three loops (D, anti-codon, and T loops). The record is from RNAcentral. Lineage: Bacteria; Candidatus Saccharimonadota.